This 378-nucleotide unclassified non-coding RNA is filed under the name plant metagenome. Its description in RNAcentral is "partial contains 5.8S ribosomal RNA, internal transcribed spacer 2, and large subunit ribosomal RNA". The stretch from base 1 to 105 matches the Rfam family "5.8S ribosomal RNA", at positions 50 to 154 of the family's 154-position model. The record is from RNAcentral.
GAAAUGCGAUAAGUAAUGUGAAUUGCAGAAUUCAGUGAAUCAUCGAAUCUUUGAACGCACCUUGCGCUCCUUGGUAUUCCUUGGAGCAUGCCUGUUUGAGUAUCAUGAAAUCUUCAAAGUAAGUCUUUUGUUAACUCAAUUGGCUUCUACUUUGGUAUUGGAGGUCUUUGCAGCUUCACACCUGCUCCUCUUUGUUCAUUAGCUGGAUCUCAGUGUUAUGCUUGGUUCCACUCGGCGUGAUAAGUUAUCUAUCGCUGAGGACACUGUAAAAGGUGGCCAAGGUAAAUGCAGAUGAACCGCUUCUAAUAGUCCAUUGACUUGGACAAUACUUUUAUGAUCUGAUCUCAAAUCAGGUAGGACUACCCGCUGAACUUAAGC